CCUGUGAAAACCGACCGAGUUCGUUGUGAUCUUGUGAAAACAACAAGUUAGGUUGUGAGCUUGUAAAACAACCAGCUGUAAUCUGAAGGAUUAUAGUGAAAUUCCCAAGAGAUCUUGGUGAGUGGAUGUAGGUGCUGGGGUGCACCGAACCACUAUAUGUUUGUUGUGUUUGUGAUGCUUUCUGUCAUUGUCUAACUUCCUCACUUACUUACUUAGAUAAAUUGCUUGCUUAACUCUUAUCUGCGCAUCCUUUAGUUGCGAGCAUAUUCAAUUUACUUAAUCAAGUCUCAUUCAAUAAAACUGCAUUAAGACUCAUUGUAUUGAAUUGCAUGCUUGGGCAAACUUAGAGUAAUCUUUUAUUGAGUCUGCUGCUUAAUAGUUUUAAUCUUGAUAAGAUUAAAAUCAAACUGUUGCUAAGUUUAAAUUCCACUGUGCAUCUAUACAACUUAGCA
RNAcentral lists this long non-coding RNA (452 nucleotides) under Phoenix dactylifera (date palm). RNAcentral's name for it is "long non-coding RNA (PDAC_LNC017693)". The record is from RNAcentral. Lineage: Eukaryota; Viridiplantae; Streptophyta; Magnoliopsida; Arecales; Arecaceae.